Molecule: ribosomal RNA, 505 nt
Filed under: Ptomaphagus sp. TJH-2005
Lineage: Eukaryota; Metazoa; Arthropoda; Insecta; Coleoptera; Leiodidae
Description: partial 16S ribosomal RNA
Rfam family: Bacterial large subunit ribosomal RNA (bases 379-505)
Source: RNAcentral
GUCUUAUUGAUUAUAAUUUUAAGUCUAAUCUGCCCAAUGAUUAAUUUAAUGGCUGCAGUAUUUUAACUGUACAAAGGUAGCAUAAUAAUUAGUUCCUUAAUUAGGGACUGGAAUGAAGGAUUGAACGAGAUAGAAAUUGUCUCUUUUUAAAUUUUAUAAUUUUAUUUUUAAGUUAAAAAGCUUAAAUAAUUUUAAAAGACGAGAAGACCCUAUAGAGUUUUAUAAUUUUAUUUUAAUUAAAUGUUAGAAUUAAAAUUUUUUUGAAUAAAAAUUAUUUGAUUGGGGUGAUUUAAAAAUUUAAUAAACUUUAAUAUUUUAUACAUUAAUGAGUGAAUAAUUGAUCCAUAAUUUAUGAUUAAAAGAUUAAAUUACCUUAGGGAUAACAGCGUAAUUUUUUUAGAGAGUUCAAAUCGAAAAAAAAGAUUGCGACCUCGAUGUUGGAUUAAAAUUAAUUUUUGGUGUAGAAGCUAAAAUAUUAGGUCUGUUCGACCUUUAAAAUUUUACA